Dipodomys ordii (Ord's kangaroo rat) is the source of this 545-nucleotide long non-coding RNA. RefSeq lists it as uncharacterized. NCBI's taxonomy places the organism in Eukaryota, Metazoa, Chordata, Mammalia, Rodentia, Heteromyidae. The record is from RefSeq and is a predicted model, not a curated record. The transcript is spliced from 3 exons.
GGCAGAGCUGGUAAGUGUCAGGAUUUGACCCUGUGUGGUCAGAGUGCAGUGCACACAGUUCCACUCGCAGGGGUGCACAUGCAGGGAGGUGGGAAGAAGAGGCAGAGCCUGCAGACAUCUGGGGGACUCCAGCUGCAAGUCGGUCACAGAGCAAGAGGCAUCUAGGGCUGCAUCAAGAGGCAGGCUCCAACAGGACACUUUCCAAGUACCGUAGUUCAAAUACUGGAUGCAACAAAUAGCAUCCUACCGUUCCUCAUGGUAUUCUUCAGAAUUGACUAUUGAAAACACAAGUCAUCAACAAAAAGAUACAAGUUCUACAAUUCUCAAUGGAAGAUAAAGGCUACAGCCAGCUCAGCACUAGUGUGAAGAUUCUCAUUGUCAUAGGAGGUUUGCGGCCAUCACCCUGCUGUUUUUUUCUUCAGUCAACUCUGGAGGCUUCAACGUAUGAUCCUGACAUCCGGAGUGUCAAUGGGCAUGUACACUGAUGAUUCUAGCAGGUGCACAGAUGGGAUUGGAAUAAUGUUAACUACUAAAAACUUAACAAA